GCCGCCGUUAGCUGGACAGUAAACAUCAGUUAGCCGUUAGCUCCCACAGCUAACUACACUUCCGUGUGGAAACGUCUUUAAGGCGCGUGCGACCGUGGGAGACAAUGGACUCGCCCCCCCCCUUCUCCUCGCUGCGCCUCCUCCUCCCCCCUCUCCGCCUGCUGACGGCCGCCAUGUGGCAGGUCGCCCGGCAGCAGAGCGUGGAGCAUUAUGGGAUGCUGGAGGACUUUGUUUCCCUGGUAACGGAGGCUGUCCCGGAGCUGCUGACGGAGCAGCAGAGGACGGUGCUGCUGCUGGCGCUGAGAGCCAAGGUCAGCCUCCACUAAAGGUUCUGUUGUUGCCGCUGACAACCACAGAUUAUUAUUCUAAGUGCCUGACAACAUUAUGGGAUGGAUCCCUACAGAGAUAGACCUCUUAGUUA
Molecule: long non-coding RNA, 421 nt
Organism: Etheostoma cragini (Arkansas darter)
Lineage: Eukaryota; Metazoa; Chordata; Actinopteri; Perciformes; Percidae
Exons: 2
Source: RefSeq, a predicted model, not a curated record